CUAACUGGUCUGAACUGGUUCCAGGACGGGGGAGCCGGACGAGGCCGAGGGGCCCCUGCGCCAAUCCAUGCGGCGUCUCUCCACCCGCCUGAGAUGAAAUUCGGGAAUUUCUGGGAUCCGAAAAUCGCCCAAAAUUCCCCCAAAUGCUCCCCGCCCCUCCCCCAAUAAACACAGAACCGGUUGGGAUGGAC
Non-coding RNA from Pseudopodoces humilis (Tibetan ground-tit), 191 nucleotides. NCBI's taxonomy places the organism in Eukaryota, Metazoa, Chordata, Aves, Passeriformes, Paridae. The record is from RefSeq and is a predicted model, not a curated record.